RNAcentral lists this long non-coding RNA (490 nucleotides) under Brassica rapa (field mustard). Its description in RNAcentral is "long non-coding RNA (BRAP_LNC002629)". Lineage: Eukaryota; Viridiplantae; Streptophyta; Magnoliopsida; Brassicales; Brassicaceae. The record is from RNAcentral.
UAGGUUGCACGGGUACUCCAAGUUGGUGCCGUCUCACGUAUCGGGUUCGUAGGGGGGACGGGGACGUCUCGGGUACGCCUAGGAAACGUCCCCAAUAUGUGUGAGGUGAACCCGGGACGUCAAGACUCAUCGGGUACGGACUUGGUCAGAGAAGGAGACGUUCCGGAAACGUUUCCGCAGAAAAUAGACGUAUCCAUCUGUUUUUUUGUGUUAUAAGAAGUGUAAAAAAUUAAACCAUAUAUGUUUUUAACCUUUAAUGUGUUUAUUCUAUCAAUUUUGAAAAGAUCAAAAGUUGUAAUUAAAAAAAAUAAUAGUGUCUCUGUCUCUUCGAUUCUUUCACUCUCACUUUAGUCUCUUGCACUUCCAUCUUCUUUCUCUUUGAAACUCAAGUCUCGACCAUAUCUCUCUCUGUGAUAUAUCAGCAACAGAACCCAGAUGCACUUUCCUUACCUUCUUGUCUCUUUGUUGUUUAUAUCACAAGCAAAACGCG